GACGAACGCUGGCGGCGUGCCUAAUACAUGCAAGUAGAACGCUGAAGGAGGAGCUUGCUUCUCUGGAUGAGUUGCGAACGGGUGAGUAACGCGUAGGUAACCUGCCUGGUAGCGGGGGAUAACUAUUGGAAACGAUAGCUAAUACCGCAUAAGAGUAGAUGUUGCAUGACAUUUGCUUAAAAGGUGCAAUUGCAUCACUACCAGAUGGACCUGCGUUGCAUUAGCUAGUUGGUGGGGUAACGGCUCACCAAGGCGACGAUACAUAGUCGACCUGAGAGGGGGAACGGCCAAACUGGGACUGAGACACGGCCCAGACUCCUACGGGAGGCAGCCAUAGGGAAUCUUCGGCAAUAGACGGAAGUCUGACCGGGCAACGCCGCGUGAGUGAAGAAGGUUUUCGGAUCGUAAAGCUCUGUUGUAAGAGAAGAACGAGUGUUGGAGUUGAAAGUUCACACUGUGACGGUAUCUUACCAGAAAGGGACGGCUAACUACGUG
RNAcentral lists this ribosomal RNA (495 nucleotides) under uncultured bacterium. RNAcentral's name for it is "partial 16S ribosomal RNA". It matches the Rfam family "Bacterial small subunit ribosomal RNA", at positions 28 to 507 of the family's 1533-position model. The record is from RNAcentral.